GACGAGCUCUCCAAACGUUAUUCGGUAUUACUGGGCUUAAAGAGUUCGUAGGCGGCUUUGUAGGUGGGGUGUGAAAGCCCUCGGCUUAACCGAGGAACUGCGCCCCAAACCACAGGGCUUGAGGGGUAUAGGGGUAAGCGGAACAGAUGGUGGAGCGGUGAAAUGCAUUGAUAUCAUCUGGAACACCGGUGGCGAAGGCGGCUUACUGGAUACUUUCUGACGCUGAGGAACGAAAGCUAGGGUAGCGAACGGG
RNAcentral lists this non-coding RNA (253 nucleotides) under bacterium. RNAcentral's name for it is "partial 16S ribosomal RNA". It matches the Rfam family "Bacterial small subunit ribosomal RNA", at positions 524 to 776 of the family's 1533-position model. RNAcentral also lists the same sequence under 2 other names. The record is from RNAcentral.